This 433-nucleotide ribosomal RNA is filed under the name uncultured bacterium. Its description in RNAcentral is "partial 16S ribosomal RNA". It matches the Rfam family "Bacterial small subunit ribosomal RNA", at positions 29 to 507 of the family's 1533-position model. The record is from RNAcentral.
AACGAACGCUGGCGGCAGGCCUAACACAUGCAAGUCGAGCGAGGACUUCGGUCCUAGCGGCGGACGGGUGAGUAACGCGUGGGAACGUGCCCUUUGCUUCGGAAUAGCCCUGGGAAACUGGGAGUAAUACCGGAUGAGCCCUUUGGGGGAAAGAUUUAUCGGCGAAGGAUCGGCCCGCGUUGGAUUAGGUAGUUGGUGGGAUAAUGGCCUACCAAGCCGACGAUCCAUAGCUGGUUUGAGAGGAUGAUCAGCCACACUGGGACUGAGACACGGCCCAGACUCCUACGGGAGGCAGCAGUGGGGAAUCUUAGACAAUGGGGGAAACCCUGAUCUAGCCAUGCCGCGUGAGCGAUGAAGGCCUUAGGGUUGUAAAGCUCUUUCAGCUGGGAAGAUAAUGACGGUACCAGCAGAAGAAGCCCCGGCUAACUCCGUG